This is a long non-coding RNA of Chenopodium quinoa (quinoa), 2158 nucleotides long. RefSeq lists it as uncharacterized. The transcript has 3 exons. The record is from RefSeq and is a predicted model, not a curated record. Lineage: Eukaryota; Viridiplantae; Streptophyta; Magnoliopsida; Caryophyllales; Amaranthaceae.
AGUACAGCAUAGUAGUAAUAAAAUAUAAAAAGAAAAAUAAGUGAAAAAACAAAAGUUGCAGAACCCUAGAUUUUGCUAUAAACGGACAGAUAAAGUGUACUUAGGGUUUUUUUUUUCUUUUGACUUUGAGUUGAGUUCCAAAUUUCAGAUCUAGAAGUGAAAAGAUUUUUGUUGGGAUGGCAUUUGCUGUAACAGAUGUGUAUGAGGAAUCUCUCAAAGCUCUGCCUUCUCUCUCUCCUUGUAAAUACCCACCAAACACAAACCCCGGCUCACCGACGAAAGCGCCGGCGAUGACGGAGUUUCAAGGCCCUCCCAUAGACCUCCGCCGGCGAUUUUGUUCUCUCUUUCUCUCUCCUUUGACGGUGACCAACCAACAACCAUCGCCGGUAUGCAUGCUGGAUGAUCGGAGAUUCUCUGCAUGUUGGAUGAUCGGAGAUUCUCUGCCUUGCCUUGCCUUGCCUUUUGUUCCACCCAACUGGUAUCUAUGGUCCUGGAUGCCUAAUCACUGAAAGUUAAUUUUACUCUUACAAUAUAUUUGUUCUCUACGUUCUUCUAUCUAAUGAUUCUAAAUGAACUUUGAUUAAUCGUAACUGAUCUGUAGAAGAAAAUUUUGUAGUUUGUUCUGGAAUAUAUUUUUUUUUCUUUGAUGAUAUAUUUCUGGAGUUUUUUCUGUAGAAGUGAACUUUAAUUUCCUUCUCAACUAGAAUUUGGAUAAAAUUUAGAAAGAAUGAGUAGAUAAACAUUGUUUAAUUAUGAGUAGUUGUUUUCAAUUGUGCUCAUUCUUUGCUCUGCUCUUCUGCUCAUCUUCUGUCAUCCUUGGCUUAACUGAAAAUUCUUUUGGUGGUGCUUAAUUCUUACAUUAUAACAUGUAAGCCAUUUGUCCCUGUUUUGCUGCAUAAAUUUCAUCAUUAUGAUUUUUUGGCAUGUUGAGAAUGGUGGUAAAUCUGUCAUGACUCAAGUUUCUGAAAUGAGUUCAAGAUCUUGUCAAUUCACCUGAAAAUGGCUUUAUCAAGCCACCAGCAAAUAGAGUGGUAUCAAAUUAGGUACAAUUAUGUCCUUCCUGGUGUAUACUUCUCAGUUCUCAAUGCUAAAAAUUUCAUCGUAUGGCUUUUGAAAAGCAUAUGGAUCAAUCAGAACUUUGUUUUGUUACUGCUUUCUUGACUACAAUAUACUUUCAACCUUAUUAAUUUGUUUGAAUGAGUAGGGAGAUUGAGCAAAUACAUGUGCAGGAAGAAAUCGACCUACUGGCUUACCUCUACAUAUGUUAAGCCACCAUUCCCAAUUUGAUUGCGCCGCGUGUCAACCCGAUCCCUAAACUAUUUUCAACAUCAUUACAUUUGCCAACUUACCCUAAACUAUUCUAUUUAUCUAAUAUAUAAAGUGAAGAGAGAUUUUGGGUGAUAAAUGUCAAUUUGCCAGAUUACUCCUUCUUACCUUUUUUUUUUUUUGUUUUUUUUUUUUUUUUUUUUUUUUUUUUUUUUAAGAACAACCAUCCUAAAUUGAAAAAAAAGUACCAUCCGAAUCUAACUUUUAGGAUAAAAUACAAUUAUACAAGUACUUAUCAACCGUUUUUUUUUUAAUUAUUCAAUUAAAGAAAAUACUCUAUGACUUCAUCAGAUGUUUUUAUUUUUUAAACCAAUUUUUAUUUUAUAAUUUUUUUACUUAUAUUUAUUUUUAUUAUCAACAAUUUUAAAAUUUGCAUCACUAAUAUUUAUUGUAUUCUAUUAGAAUAAAGAAGAGAAUGAGCCUAAUAAGUUUCUUAAAUUGCGCACACACACGCAAUCUUAGCUUAUUCAAUUAAAUCGGACAAGUCCUUAAACUAUUUCUAGAAUAUAUGUAAAUUAUAUGACAAAUAAUAUUUAAAGGUCCCUAAACCUAUUGCCACAUCAACAGUUAUUGGCUGGAAAUUGCUUUCCCUGGUGGUUAAUGGACCAAUUUGCCUCAUUUAAAAGGCUUACCUCUACAUAUGUUAAGCCACCAUUCCCUUCAGAUUGUGGUGCUUGUCGUGUCAGUGUUAUGGUUGGAGUGCAGCAUAACAAGUAAGAGGAGAAUUGUGUGUAGCUAGCUGAUUGUUGCGAUUUUGGGUGUUUGAGGGAAGUAGGAGUUUGGGCGGCUGAUUGGCUGCUGCGCGGUGGCUCGGUUGGGAGUAGGGGCAGCA